UCCCAGAGUCCAUUUUCAGAGAAGGAAUGGUGCCUCAAGAGGAUGAGAGUAGAAAGAGUUCAGUCCUUCAGCUUGGGAUGGAGCAGAUUAUCCGGAAUGCUGUCCUUUCUUGAACAGAUCCACAUGAAACCUUCCCACUCAGUAAGAAAGUUGUGUAAUGUCCUGCUCAGUGAAGGCAUGCAUUCCUGGAAGAGCGGAGGUCCUGAGAAUGUCAAAAGCUCUUGAAAACAGGUCCAGUUUCCACUUUGCCAGACGCUAUGCCAAAGACUGCUCUGAGAGCUAAUUUUGGAUAAUGAGCAAUCAGCAAGGGCAGAACAUCCUUCUUUUCCCUCUCUGGAUUUUGCCAGCAAACAGCAGUAGGCUAGCCGCUCUACAUGGAAUCUCCUGGCCAGCAGCUCUCACCAGGAACAAGAGUCCAGGGCAGGAGCUUCAGAAAGACUACAGGAGCCAUGUGGACUUGAGAAACACUGCUCACAAUGAUGAAGCUGAGUCACAGAAAGGUUUCCAGAAUCUGGAUCACAACUGGCUGUGCUCUGGGCGUAAGAACAACUUAUACAGACAUCUCAGAAUAAAUGUUUCUUCAUCUUAUUGCACAACA
Corvus hawaiiensis (hawaiian crow) is the source of this 598-nucleotide long non-coding RNA. RefSeq lists it as uncharacterized. The record is from RefSeq and is a predicted model, not a curated record. Lineage: Eukaryota; Metazoa; Chordata; Aves; Passeriformes; Corvidae. The transcript is spliced from 5 exons.